GUGGGGCAGAUGAUUGGGGUGAAGUCGUAACAAGGUAGCCGUAUCGGAAGGUGCGGCUGGAUCACCUCCUUUCUAAGGA
Molecule: ribosomal RNA, 79 nt
Filed under: Bacillus safensis
Lineage: Bacteria; Bacillati; Bacillota; Bacilli; Caryophanales; Bacillaceae
Description: partial 16S ribosomal RNA
Rfam family: Bacterial small subunit ribosomal RNA
Source: RNAcentral